AAAUUUUAGGAUGUUAUAAUUUAAAUUCUUAAGUUUUAAAAAUGCAUCGAAUUGAGCUUUUUAUUUUUAAUGUGGUGCAUAAUAAUUUAAUUAUUAGCAAAUUUUCAAUAUUUCAGUAUGCUUCAUAAAUUGUUAAGGUGCAAAACAUCCAAUUUACUUUAUAUACCAUAACCAGCAAGUGUAUUGGUAGUUUAAUUCAAUGCAUAUCAAACGAAAAAUAAAGAGCUUAAUGUAAUGAAUUUUAGUAAUAAAAAAAAAUAGUUAAGUUUUUUAAGUCGAUAAUUUAGAUUGAAACGUUCUAAAAUUAGAGGAUAUUAAAAUAGGAUUUUUUUUUUCUCUAUUUUUUUGAUUAAUGCUAUUUUCCUCCAACCACAAUUGUUGUAAUAAAUUAACAUGGAUUAUUUUAUUAUGAUAAUUCUUUAUAAAAAAAGGUAUUAAGGAAUGUGUUAAUUCUGUUUCAAUUUUUAGAAUUACCGAUAAUAUUGACAUGGAUUAAAUGUUGUUAAAAUAAAAUAAUAAAACAAUAUUGAUUGUUAUCUAUUACUCUUUUUUUUUAAUUUUUAAUUUUUAUGCCCAUUUUAUCUAUUUAAACCCAAACUUUGCCGCGAGCCACUAAUUCCCGCCCACAUGUCAAACACAGUUGCUCAGCAAAUUUCCCUCUUCCGCUCCUACAUUCUCAACAGAAGAUUGGACGCUGCGACGCUGAGAUUUCUCGAUUCAAUUUUGGUUUCCAAAGACGUGAAAUCGUCAAUAGAAGUCCGUUCGAGCUUGCGAGAGUUUAUGAGAUCUGAAUCUCUCUCAGUUUUACGUGAAAUCGCAGAGAAAGCUGUGGAUCAGAAGCUUCUUGUUGUCGAAUUUCUCAUCCGAGCUUUUGCUCUUAUAGGAGAUGUUGAGAGUUGCUUGGCUUUGAAAUAUGAAGGCUUGCUUUUGCGGGAACUCAAGUCCACUAGUUACCAAUGGCUACAGGUUUCAUAUAUGGAAUGGUUGAACUUCGCUGAGCAGUCUCUAGAUAAUGGUUUCCAUUCCAUUGCUGGAAAGGGAUGUGAAAAAGCACUGUUAUGCCUGCAGAGGAAUUCUAUGGCAGAUCCCAAGACAUCUGAGUUCUUCGAAAAUUUACAAGCUAUUGAAAAGAUAAAGAGACUCAAGGACUGUGCCAUAAAAUCAGCUGCUUCAAACUCUGUUCAGGCGCAAACCACGGAGUACUUGAAAAGUAAACGGAUGGAUGGAAAAAAUGGACCUUGUUCUGUUAGCAAAGGGACACAACCUAUAGCAAGCACGUUAUUCCGGAAUGGGAUCAAGAAGAGGAAUCUCCGAAAAUUGCAUGAAGUCCAAAGCAUGUAGGAUUGACCGAUGAACCAUACCCCAGUCAAAUUUGAGGAGGUCAUCGUCUUCCUUUGUCCAUUGAGUCUAUUAAAUAAGCUCUGAGCAGGCUUUGUGAACCUUUGCGUAUUUGUUUAAUGCAGAUUAACACCAUGAGGGACACUUUUGACACAUCGCACCUGCCUCUAGGCGUGCCAGAGACAAAAUCGUUCGCUAUAAUUGGUUUGUCCUCUCCCAUUACGAGAUUAUGUAAAUGAAACAAUUUUUAGCUCGUUAACAAGCAGUGAUCCUGUGUCUCUGUCCGUUUGAAAUUCAUAGCUUUUGGCCUAUGCAAGUAAGAAUUUUUUCUUUUCCAAGCAUGUCCAGAGCCUGCUCAAUUAUUGGGUUCAACUCCAAGCACUUUAAUGUACAUUUUUGUAAGAAACUUUCUUUUUAAGUUUGUAGCUUUCUUAAAUAAAGGUUCUUCAAUAGUUUAUUUUGAAACCAAUAA
This is an RNA transcript of Ziziphus jujuba (common jujube), 1810 nucleotides long. It is a transcript of the gene named protein DOUBLE-STRAND BREAK FORMATION, with no coding region annotated. The record is from RefSeq and is a predicted model, not a curated record. NCBI's taxonomy places the organism in Eukaryota, Viridiplantae, Streptophyta, Magnoliopsida, Rosales, Rhamnaceae. The transcript has 6 exons.